RNAcentral lists this ribosomal RNA (464 nucleotides) under uncultured bacterium. RNAcentral's name for it is "partial 16S ribosomal RNA". It matches the Rfam family "Bacterial small subunit ribosomal RNA", at positions 28 to 507 of the family's 1533-position model. The record is from RNAcentral.
GACGAACGCUGGCGGCGUGCUUAACACAUGCAAGUCGAACGGAAAGGCCCCUUUGGGGGUACUCGAGUGGCGAACGGGUGAGUAACACGUGAGUAACCUGCCCUUGACUUCGGGAUAACUUCAGGAAACUGGGGCAAUACCGGGUAGGAAAUCUUUCCGCCUGGUGGGGGUUGGGAAGGUUCGGCGGUUUUGGAUGGACUCGCGGCUUAUCAGCUUGUUGGUGGGGUAGUGGCUUACCAAGGCUUUGACGGGUAGCCGGCCUGAGAGGGCGACCGGCCACAUUGGGACUGAGAUACGGCCCAGACUCCUACGGGAGGCAGCAGUGGGGAAUAUUGCACAAUGGGCGGAAGCCUGAUGCAGCAACGCCGCGUGCGGGAUGACGGCCUUCGGGUUGUAAACCGCUUUCAGCAGGGGCGAAGCUUGUGGUGACGGUACCUGCAGAAGAAGCACCGGCUAACUACGUG